Molecule: ribosomal RNA, 100 nt
Filed under: Streptomyces ficellus
Lineage: Bacteria; Bacillati; Actinomycetota; Actinomycetes; Kitasatosporales; Streptomycetaceae
Source: RNAcentral
UAGGGAAACGCCCGGUUACAUUCCGAACCCGGAAGCUAAGCCUUUCAGCGCCGAUGGUACUGCAGGGGGGACCCUGUGGGAGAGUAGGACACCGCCGAAC